GUUGGGGGUGAAAUCCCGGGGCUCAACCCCGGAACUGCCUCCAAAACUAUCAGUCUAGAGUUCGAGAGAGGUGAGUGGAAUUCCAAGUGUAGAGGUGAAAUUCGUAGAUAUUUGGAGGAACACCAGUGGCGAAGGCGGCUCACUGGCUCGAUACUGACAAC
RNAcentral lists this ribosomal RNA (161 nucleotides) under uncultured bacterium. RNAcentral's name for it is "partial 16S ribosomal RNA". It matches the Rfam family "Bacterial small subunit ribosomal RNA", at positions 587 to 744 of the family's 1533-position model. The record is from RNAcentral.